RNAcentral lists this ribosomal RNA (482 nucleotides) under uncultured bacterium. Its description in RNAcentral is "partial 16S ribosomal RNA". It matches the Rfam family "Bacterial small subunit ribosomal RNA", at positions 30 to 507 of the family's 1533-position model. The record is from RNAcentral.
AUUGAACGCUGGCGGCAUGCUUUACACAUGCAAGUCGAACGGCAGCGCGGGGCAACCUGGCGGCGAGUGGCGAACGGGUGAGUAAUACAUCGGAACGUACCCAGAAGUGGGGGAUAACGUAGCGAAAGUUACGCUAAUACCGCAUACGUUCUACGGAAGAAAGUGGGGGACCUUCGGGCCUCAUGCUUUUGGAGCGGCCGAUGUCUGAUUACCUAGUUGGUGAGGUAAAGGCUCACCAAGGCGACGAUCAGUAGCUGGUCUGAGAGGACGACCAGCCACACUGGGACUGAGACACGGCCCAGACUCCUACGGGAGGCAGCAGUGGGGAAUUUUGGACAAUGGGCGCAAGCCUGAUCCAGCAAUGCCGCGUGAGUGAAGAAGGCCUUCGGGUUGUAAAGCUCUUUUGUCAGGGAAGAAACGGCUGAGGAUAAUACCUUCGGCUAAUGACGGUACCUGAAGAAUAAGCACCGGCUAACUACGUG